CCUACGGGUGGCAGCAGUGGGGAAUAUUGGACAAUGGGCGAAAGCCUGAUCCAGCCAUGCCGCGUGUGUGAAGAAGGCCUUCGGGUUGUAAAGCACUUUCAGUGGGGAAGAAAGCCUUGGGGCUAAUACCCUCGAGGAAGGACAUCACCCACAGAAGAAGCACCGGCUAACUCCGUGCCAGCAGCCGCGGUAAUACGGAGGGUGCGAGCGUUAAUCGGAAUUACUGGGCGUAAAGCGCGCGUAGGCGGUCUGAUAAGCCGGUUGUGAAAGCCCCGGGCUCAACCUGGGAACGGCAUCCAGAACUGUCAGGCUAGAGUGCAGGAGAGUAAGGUAGAAUUCCCGGUGUAGCGGUGAAAUGCGUAGAGAUCGGGAGGAAUACCAGUGGCGAAGGCGGCCUUCUGGACUGACACUGACGCUGGGGUGCGAAAGCGUGGGUAGCAAACAGGAUUAGAUCCCGUGUAGUC
Molecule: ribosomal RNA, 464 nt
Filed under: Vreelandella stevensii
Lineage: Bacteria; Pseudomonadati; Pseudomonadota; Gammaproteobacteria; Oceanospirillales; Halomonadaceae
Description: partial 16S ribosomal RNA
Rfam family: Bacterial small subunit ribosomal RNA
Source: RNAcentral